AAUAGAUACCCUGGUAGUCCAUGCCGUAAACGUUGGGAACUAGAUGUAGGGCCUGUUCCACGGGUUCUGUGGUCGUAGCUAACGCAUUAAGUUCCCCGCCUGGGGAGUACGGCCGCAAGGCUAAAACUCAAAGGAAUUGACGGGGGCCCGCACAAGCGGCGGAGCAUGCGGAUUAAUUCGAUGCAACGUGAAGAACCUUACCAAGGCUUGACAGGUAUAGGAAGAACACUGCAGAGAUGCAGGACUCUUUGGACACUUCUAUACAGGUGGUGCAUGGUUGUCGUCAGCUCGUGUCGUGAGAUGUUCGGUUAAGUCCGGCAACGAGCGCAACCCUGUCCUAUGUUGCCAGCACGUGAUGGUGGGAACUCAUGGGAUACUGCCGUGGUCAACACGGAGGAAGGUGGGGAUGACGUCAAAUCAUCGAUGCCCCUUAUGUCUUGGGCUUCACGCAUGCUACAAUGGCCGUACAAGGCUGCGAUACGUAGUGGAGCGAAUCCAAAAGCCGUCUCAGUUCGGAUUGGGUCG
Molecule: ribosomal RNA, 525 nt
Filed under: uncultured bacterium
Lineage: Bacteria
Description: bacterial SSU rRNA
Rfam family: Bacterial small subunit ribosomal RNA
Source: RNAcentral